AGACCCGAAACCCGGUGAUCUAGCCAUGGGCAGGUUGAAGGUUGGGUAACACUAACUGGAGGACCGAACCGACUAAUGUUGAAAAAUUAGCGGAUGACCUGUGGCUGGGGGUGAAAGGCCAAUCAAACCGGGAGAUAGCUGGUUCUCCCCGAAAGCUAUUUAGGUAGCGCCUCGUGAAUUCAUCUCCGGGGGUAGAGCACUGUUUCGGCUAGGGGGCCAUCCCGGCUUACCAACCCGAUGCAAACUGCGAAUACCGGAGAAUGUUAUCACGGGAGACACACGGCGGGUGCUAACGUCCGUCGUGAAGAGGGAAACAACCCAGACCGCCAGCUAAGGUCCCAAAGUCAUGGUUAAGUGGGAAACGAUGUGGGAAGGCCCAGACAGCCAGGAUGUUGGCUUAGAAGCAGCCAUCAUUUAAAGAAAGCGUAAUAGCUCACUGGUCGAGUCGGCCUGCGCGGAAGAUGUAACGGGGCUAAACCAUGCACCGAAGCUGCGGCAGCGACACUCAGGUGUUGUUGGGUAGGGGAGCGUUCUGUAAGCCUGUGAAGGUGGCCUGUGAGGGUUGCUGGAGGUAUCAGAAGUGCGAAUGCUGACAUAAGUAACGAUAAAGCGGGUGAAAAGCCCGCUCGCCGGAAGACCAAGGGUUCCUGUCCAACGUUAAUCGGGGCAGGGUGAGUCGACCCCUAAGGCGAGGCCGAAAGGCGUAGUCGAUGGGAAACGGGUUAAUAUUCCCGUACUUGGUGUUACUGCGAAGGGGGGACGGAGAAGGCUAUGUUGGCCGGGCGACGGUUGUCCCGGUUUAAGCGUGUAGGUGUGUGUUCCAGGUAAAUCCGGUUCACUUUAACACUGAGGCGUGAUGACGAGGCACUACGGUGCUGAAGCAACAAAUGCCCUGCUUCCAGGAAAAGCCUCUAAGCAUCAGGUAACAUCAAAUCGUACCCCAAACCGACACAGGUGGUCAGGUAGAGAAUACCAAGGCGCUUGAGAGAACUCGGGUGAAGGAACUAGGCAAAAUGGUGCCGUAACUUCGGGAGAAGGCACGCUGACACGUAGGUGAAGUGAUUUACUCAUGGAGCUGAAGUCAGUCGAAGAUACCAGCUGGCUGCAACUGUUUAUUAAAAACACAGCACUGUGCAAACACGAAAGUGGACGUAUACGGUGUGACGCCUGCCCGGUGCCGGAAGGUUAAUUGAUGGGGUCAGCGCAAGCGAAGCUCCUGAUCGAAGCCCCGGUAAACGGCGGCCGUAACUAUAACGGUCCUAAGGUAGCGAAAUUCCUUGUCGGGUAAGUUCCGACCUGCACGAAUGGCGUAAUGAUGGCCAGGCUGUCUCCACCCGAGACUCAGUGAAAUUGAACUCGCUGUGAAGAUGCAGUGUACCCGCGGCAAGACGGAAAGACCCCGUGAACCUUUACUAUAGCUUGACACUGAACAUUGAGCCUUGAUGUGUAGGAUAGGUGGGAGGCUUUGAAGUGUGGACGCCAGUCUGCAUGGAGCCGACCUUGAAAUACCACCCUUUAAUGUUUGAUGUUCUAACGUGGACCCGUAAUCCGGGUUGCGGACAGUGUCUGGUGGGUAGUUUG
This 1581-nucleotide ribosomal RNA is filed under the name Salmonella enterica. RNAcentral describes it as "partial 23S ribosomal RNA". It matches the Rfam family "Bacterial large subunit ribosomal RNA", at positions 711 to 2272 of the family's 2925-position model. Lineage: Bacteria; Pseudomonadati; Pseudomonadota; Gammaproteobacteria; Enterobacterales; Enterobacteriaceae. The record is from RNAcentral.